UGAAGGCUUCUCUGUUGCUUGUUGCUGCACUGCUAGCAGUGGCGGGGCUCCACGGGCAACCAGAAGAGUCGACCACCGCCAGCAUCGGAAAUGAGGAACUAAGCAUCGGCAAUAUCACGGCUGAGAGUAGAUUUCUGGGGAGGUCGUCUCACACGGAAGAUGACGACGAUACCAUUUGUGUCGCAGCAGACAACAAGUUCUACUUGUAUGCUAAUUCGCUGAAGCUGUAUUCUUGCUAAAACCAGCUACCGAAAGUUUACGUGGUGAAACCAAAGAGUCAGUGCAAACCAUACCUGUCAGAUUGUCCCAGGGACUAGGAGUAUUGCAAGUCCGUUGGCUCAGCUUGAAUCGUCUGCGAGGGAGUGAAGACAAAAAUGGCUGGCCUGCUCACUGAAGACAUCUGCUGUUUACAGAAGAGCCAAGAAACUGCAAGAGCGUCAGAACUUUCUGAUUACUUUACGACAUGCUGUAUAUUUCAUUGCUGUAAAGAUUAUUAUUAAAACAUC
Long non-coding RNA from Schistocerca americana (American grasshopper), 506 nucleotides. RefSeq lists it as uncharacterized. The record is from RefSeq and is a predicted model, not a curated record. Lineage: Eukaryota; Metazoa; Arthropoda; Insecta; Orthoptera; Acrididae. The transcript is spliced from 3 exons.